RNAcentral lists this ribosomal RNA (442 nucleotides) under uncultured bacterium. Its description in RNAcentral is "partial 16S ribosomal RNA". It matches the Rfam family "Bacterial small subunit ribosomal RNA", at positions 338 to 795 of the family's 1533-position model. The record is from RNAcentral.
CCUACGGGGGGCAGCAGUAGGGAAUCUUUCACAAUGGGCGAAAGCCUGAUGGAGCAACGCCGCGUGCAGGAUGAAGGCCUUCGGGUUGUAAACUGCUUUUAUAAGCGAGAAAUAUGAUGGUAACUUAUGAAUAAGGAUCGGCUAACUACGUGCCAGCAGCCGCGGUCAUACGUAGGAUCCGAGCAUUAUCCGGAGUGACUGGGUGUAAAGAGUUGCGUAGGUGGCAUAAUAAGUAGCUAGUGAAAUCUGGUGGCUCAACCAUUCAGACUAUUAGCUAAACUGUUAAGCUCGAGACCGUUAGGGGUAACUGGAAUUUCUAGUGUAGGAGUGAAAUCCGUAGAUAUUAGAAGGAACACCAAUAGCGUAGGCAGGUUGCUGGGACGAUUCUGACACUAAGGCACGAAAGCGUAGGGAGCAAACGGGAUUAGAUACCCCAGUAGUC